RNAcentral lists this ribosomal RNA (972 nucleotides) under Triticum aestivum (bread wheat). RNAcentral's name for it is "partial small subunit ribosomal RNA". Lineage: Eukaryota; Viridiplantae; Streptophyta; Magnoliopsida; Poales; Poaceae. The record is from RNAcentral.
AUGGCAGCGACCCACAUGCGAGCGCCUCUUUUUCCCGCGUCGGUCGCCUCCCAGCCCGCGAACCUAUUUCGUUUCCUUCUUAUCUCACCCCUCACCCGAGACCCUAGCAUCACAACUCCCUCUCCCGAUAGAAGAGGCGGCGGUGGCGAUUUGGAUCGAGGUGACGGCGCGAUUCAUCUUGGAUUCCGGUGCAGCGGAGGUACAGAUCCUCCUUGUCCUCAUUCCCCUCUCUAUCCUCUCUGUUCUAUGCAUCUCCUGGUUGAAUCGGACGGCCAGGGCGGGCCGGGAGAGUGGAGCGCUGCCGGGAAGAAACGCACGGAUCCGGCCACCGGGAACGGGCAGAUCCGGCGUGGGGGAGGGGGGUCGCUGGUUUCACUGAAAUGGGAGGGUUUGGCAGUGGGGAACGGGAGGGACCACAAAGAGGAUGGGCCUUUUCUGAACAAGCCUCUCAAGCACUAUAAUGAGAUGGCUAUCAUUCAUGGCAAUACUAUGGCCACGGUUCAGUAUACGAAAGGCUCAAAUGACCCCCUUGGCACAGAGGGCAUAGAGGUGAAUGACAUUUCAGAUAAUGAGGCUUCCCCAGUUGAAGAAGGUAGCAAGUCAAGCAAUGGAGGCGAUUCAGUGGCUCCCAAUCCCAAAAGGGCCAAAACAAAGUCUAGUGUUGAUGAGGGGCUGCAAUCAACCCUUAUGGCAGUGGGUGAAAGGCUUGCUAUUGCCAUAGAGAGGAGUGUUAGCACCGACAACAGCUCCGCGAGCAUCUCUACGAACAACUCUACGAACAACUCCAUGGUGGGCCUUUGGGAGGGCAUGAAAGAUAUUCCCUUUUUCGGUACUGAUUACCUUGCCCAUUAUUUUGCCUACUUGGUUGAGAAUCCAAACAUUGCAAUGGCGUUUCAACUCUUGGAGAAGGACCAAAAGAGUAUUUGGGUUGCUAGGUAUGUGAAGAACACCUUCCCUCCAAUGGAUAGUUGA